AUUGAACGCUGGCGGCAGGCCUAACACAUGCAAGUCGAGCGGAUGAAGGGAGCUUGCUCCUGGAUUCAGCGGCGGACGGGUGAGUAAUGCCUAGGAAUCUGCCUGGUAGUGGGGGAUAACGUCCGGAAACGGGCGCUAAUACCGCAUACAUCCUGAGGGAGAAAGUGGGGGAUCUUCGGACCUCACGCUAUCAGAUGAGCCUAGGUCGGAUUAGCUAGUUGGUGGGGUAAAGGCCUACCAAGGCGACGAUCCGUAACUGGUCUGAGAGGAUGAUCAGUCACACUGGAACUGAGACACGGUCCAGACUCCUACGGGAGGCAGCAGUGGGGAAUAUUGGACAAUGGGCGAAAGCCUGAUCCAGCCAUGCCGCGUGUGUGAAGAAGGUCUUCGGAUUGUAAAGCACUUUAAGUUGGGAGGAAGGGCAGUAAGUUAAUACCUUGCUGUUUUGACGUUACCAACAGAAUAAGCACCGGCUAACUCCGUG
This 484-nucleotide ribosomal RNA is filed under the name uncultured bacterium. RNAcentral's name for it is "partial 16S ribosomal RNA". It matches the Rfam family "Bacterial small subunit ribosomal RNA", at positions 30 to 507 of the family's 1533-position model. The record is from RNAcentral.